Long non-coding RNA from Hippocampus comes (tiger tail seahorse), 2123 nucleotides. RefSeq lists it as uncharacterized. The transcript has 3 exons. The record is from RefSeq and is a predicted model, not a curated record. NCBI's taxonomy places the organism in Eukaryota, Metazoa, Chordata, Actinopteri, Syngnathiformes, Syngnathidae.
CACACACACACACACACACACACACACACACACAGAUUUACUUCAUUUCACAAUAACUAAACAAACAUUCUUCCAGAAAUUUGCAACACUGGUGGAGUCCAUGUCUUAAAACCUGCAAUCAUUGCUCUUUGUGCCUCGGGCAUGUCAAAGACCUCAACUUUGGAUCACACAAUGCCAAUACUCGUUUCUUUUUCAUACAGAAGAGUCAAUGUGUUGUGAGUUACUUGCUUUGUUUCACCACGUGUGAUAGGAGCAGACAUAAAAGGCUUUCAGAUGAUUGGCAUCUUCUCAUCUGGCGGAUCAGCGUUUCUCAAGCUUUACUGAGCCAAAGCACAUACUGUAUUAGAAAAAUCUCACCACACACCACCAAACAGAAACGGAGGAGAAACUGCAGUGAUACAGGCCAGAAUCUCAUAUAAGAUUGACCGUAUGGCGAAGGGUCAUGGUGCUCACACGCAGCUCCGGGAAAAGGCGAGGCAGAGGUGACCUGAUGUAUUCAGGGUUGGGCUUUUCAAAAACAUUACAACACAGCUGUCAUUCUCCAUCAUCUGACACAUAAUAAUGUUUAUGGUGAGUAAGGUUAGGUUUGGUACAAUUGUUUGUUGAGUAUGACUCACAAGAUUGUCAUUACUGGCUAAUCUGUGCCGAAAAAUCAAUGUUACUGAUGAGACAUUUUCUAGUAGGGCUGAAUCCAUUAUCUUCCAUCAAUUUGUAAGAUGUGUGUUCAUGGUGACACACUGAAAUUACAGUACCGCAUGUCUGUAUCAUUAACCUCACAUCAUGAACAUUAGUGAGUGUAUCAUGCCAGUCUACAGGUGGAAAACGUACGCAGGCAAGCACGCACAUACGCACAUCCAGUUACAGUCACUUACACAACUCCAAAGUCGCAUUUCAAAUUUUUUUUUCUGAUUUUUGUCCCAAAACCAGUUAUCAUCCAAUCAAUACUUUGUAGUUGGCUGAGUGUAAUUUGCACUAAAAAAUGCUGAUGGAAAUGAUGAACAAUGCAAUUUAAUGCAAAGUGAGUUAUUGUUUCAGCAUUUGUGUGUUUGCUAUUUUGACCUCAGGAAAUAUCUGACCAUUUCAAGCAUUUAAAUUAAUAAACAAACAAACAAAAAAAAUGCCAAUCAGUACAAUGUGCUGACACUGCAACAAAGUACAGUAAUAAUAACAACUAUUCUUACAUUAAUACGUCUCUAACGGUGAAUCAGUCAACAUUUAGCAUAAUUAACUUAUCUUUCUAUCAUUAUUUACCUUUUCUUUUUUUCCCCCAACUUGUUUACUUAUUCACCACUUCUAUCUGCUGGCUGGACAUAAAACACAAGUAUUAUAGCACACUAUUUCAUUUAUUUUCACAAAAGAGAGUCAGAUUUACACACAGUGUGUUUAAGAUUCAAAAUGCUGAAUAAUCUUUUGCUUGGUCAAGUUGUCAUCUCUCUCAUCUCUCAGCAUCAGUUCUCAUAACACCAGAGAAUUGUGAGCCUUUAAGCCACAUACACUAAAAAUAAGACAUUAGUGUUUGCACUAGGCCGCACCUGUCAAGCCGACUUCCAAAGACUAGUGCAGCCGACAUUUGCUGUGUCUGAUCCGCUGGCUUGUGCAGUUUGAAAGUGCAGAGAGGCCCUGCUCUGCAUAAGUCAUCAACUGAACCGCACCAAACCUGCCGUAGCCAAAUUCUUUCUACGAGGUCACGAGUGGCCUGAAAGUACACAUGAUGAUAUAUUCAGGGUUAUUUUACAUUUUCAUGACUGCUUUUGAGACAGUUGCAAAAAAAGGCCAACGUGGGAAAGUUUGUUGAGCCUGAUCACAGCCAUUAGCCGUAAGGUGAAACACUGACAUAAUCAUUUUUUCCUCAGUAGUUAUCUUAAUUUUUUAUGAAAUGUUAGUAUGGUAAACCAUAAAGUCGACCUUCUCAAUAGGUAUGCAUUAAAAUAAAAAAAAUCCAACCUCUGUAGCAGUUUUUUACCAAAGACAGUACAAAGUCUUCCGGUGCUUUAUUGACCACCACUGGGAUUACCAGGCCCUCAAGAACACUUUGGGGACAGUGUCCCCCACCACCACGCUAAUCCGAAUUUAGGACCUUGAAAAAAAAGGUUUGUUCUUGUUGUGGGGGGAAAAAAAUAGAA